Oncorhynchus tshawytscha (Chinook salmon) is the source of this 3211-nucleotide long non-coding RNA. Lineage: Eukaryota; Metazoa; Chordata; Actinopteri; Salmoniformes; Salmonidae. The record is from Ensembl.
ACCUCCCCCCUUGCAGUUAAGGGUGUUGGGCCAUUAAUUGAAAGUUUGCUGGUUCAAAAAUCAGUGCCAGCAAGCUGGAAAAAUCUGCCGUUCUGUCCUUGAGCAAGGCCGUUAGCCCCCAACAACAACUGCUCCCUGGGCCCCAAAGACGUGGAUGUCCAUUAAGGCAGCCCCCCCACACUUCUAUGAUUCAGAGGGGUUGGGUUAAAUGCAGGAGGACACAUUUCUGUUGAAUGCAUUCAGUUGUGCAACUGACUAUGUACCCCCUUUCUCUUUUGCAGCGGAGGAGAUAAACCAGGAAACGCUCUUGCUUUUGGACGACUCAACUAUAGCCUGAAGUUAAAGAAGAACAUAAAAGCCUUACACGCAAAGCGGGCGGCGCUCAGGGGCUGUAUGUGUUUGAUUGAGAAAGUCACAAAGGAGAGACAACCAGAAAAAGCACAGCUCCCUUCAUUAUUGACGCAUUGUACUGACAUCAAAGAGCCAUUCCAGAUUGCGAGCUGCUGGCUGGUCAUCAUUGUCUCUGUUCUUUUUUUGUCAGGUAUCUCUUGGAAAAGAUAUGUUAUCUCAAUGAGAACAACCUAUAUAAAUAAAGGUAAAAUAAAUAAAAUGACGAAAAAUGUAGCCUUGCCAGCCGAGAGAAGCAAGCCGAAGAUCUUCCUCUUUCGAAGUGCAGAUUCACAAGUUGACAUCGCUUUAAGACUUCUGCCAGCUAUCCUCCCAACACCAGUCUCCAAGAUUCCCUGUACUCCCUGUUCACCCACGACUGCGUGGCCACGCACGCCUCCAACUCAAUCAUCAACUUUACAGACGACCCGACAGUGGUAGGCUUGAUUACCAACAACGACGAGACGGCCUACAGGGAGGAGGUGAGGGCCCUCGGAGUGUGGUGUCAGGAAAAUAACCUCACACUCAACGUCAACAAAACUAAGGAGAUGAUUGUGGACUUCAGGAAACAGCAGAGGGAACACCCCCCUAUCCACAUCGAUGGAACAGUAGUGGAGAGGGUCGCAAGUUUUAAGUUCCUCGGCAUACACAUCACAGACAAACUGAAUUGGUCCACCCACACGGACAGCAUCGUGAAGAAGGCGCAGCAGCGCCUCUUCAACCUCAGGAGGCUGAAGAAAUUCGGCUUGUCACCAAAAGCACUCACAAACUUCUACAGAUGCACAAUCGAGAGCAUCCUGGCAGGCUGUAUCACCGCCUGGUACGGCAACUGCUCCGCCCACAACCGUAAGGCUCUCCAGAGGGUAGUGAGGUCUGCACAACGCAUCACCGGGGGAAAACUACCUGCCCUCCAGGACACCUACACCACCUGAUGUCACAGGAAGGCCAUAAAGAUCAUCAAGGACAACAACCACCCGAGCCACUGCCUGUUCACCCCGCUAUCAUCCAGAAGGCGAGGUCAGUACAGGUACAUCAAAGCUGGGACCGAGAGACUGAAAAACAGCUUCUAUCUCAAGGCCAUCGGACUGUUAAACAGCCACCACUAACAUUGAGUGGCUGCUGCCAACACACUGACUCAACUCCAGCCACUUUAAUAAUGGGAAUUGAUGGGAAAUGAUGUAAAAUAUAUCACUAGCCACUUUAAACAAUGCUACCUAAUAUAAUGUUUACAUACCCUACAUUAUUCAUCUCAUAUGUACACAUAUAUACUGUACUCUAUAUCAUCUACUGCAUCUUUAUGUAAUACAUGUAUCACUAGCCACUUUAACUAUGCCACUUUGUUUACAUACUCAUCUCAUAUGUAUAUACUGUACUCGAUACCAUCUACUGUAUCUUGCCUAUGCCGCUCUGUACCAUCACUCAUUCAUAUAUCUUUAUGUACAUAUUCUUUAUCCCCUUACACUUGUGUGUAUAAGACAGUAGUUUUGGAAUUGUUAGUUAGAUUACUUGUUGGUUAUUACUGCAUUGUCGGAACUAGAAGCACAAGCAUUUCGCUACACUCGCACUAACAUCUGCUAACCAUGUGUAUGUGACAAAUAAAAUUUGAUUAGAUUUGAAGAUUGUCAGGCAGACAUUCUGACCUACCUUCAAAGAGACCAGAAGGUCCUUCAUAUACUUGCAGCCUGUAAGUUUAAAUUGUGGACAGGCAUAGGGAGAUUGAUGGGGAAAUUAGAUGACAGCAUUUGUAAACCUUUAAUGAAAGGAACGGCAUUCCAAAAGCUAUUUUGCAUAACUAAACAAUCCAAUACAUUUUAAAUUAAUGUUUCUGAAGAUGUAGGCAUCAACCAGGGAUUGGGUAUUGAUUAAUGUAAAUGGCUAUAUAGUAUACACAAUAAAUUGUGUGUGAUGCCAUUGCCAUUGUGUCCUCAUAUUCAAAAAACAAAUGAUUUCUAUCUAACAGGUUAGGACCAACAUGGUUGAGGACCUGUUCCAGGCCUGAGGUGACCAGACCCUAACCAUUUAUGUUGGCUAUUGGGGACUGCUCACAGGGGUUUACAGUCAUUAGUGGACAUGCAUUGAAGCAAGGUGCAUUGCUUGGGGUGCUGGAUGCGUGCUUCAUGUCCUAUUAGGUGUUUGAUAUCAACUUUCCUACAAACCACAGUGUAUCAGCUGCCAGGAACAGAAUCCCCCGCAGCAAGACUGUUGCAAGCAUGUCUUUUUUCCACUGAACAAUAGUGGAUCCGUAUCAGCUCUUGUGUGUAGUGUGAGAAGUGACGGGAGGAAGCCCAGUCCUCCUCCGGCUAAUGUGUUUGUACUCCUGUGAAUUAAUAGAUCAAUGAGCCAUGAGUUUCAGAGGGGUUGGGUUAAAUGCGUAAGACACAUUUUGGUUGAAUAUAUUCAGUUGUGCAACAGACUAGGUAUCGACUUUCCCCUUCAUAUUACAAUGCUAAUAUGCUCUGAAAGCAGUAUUUAUAGCUCUGUUUUAAUGCAUUUGUGGCUGCUUUUUGCCUACUGUAAAGUAUGUGCUUGUUUGCUUUAAGUUCAAGUAUUGCUGCAUAUCUUACUUUAUUAUUAUCUAAAUAUUUCAUAGUUUUGAUGUCUUCACCAUUAUUCUACAAUGUAGAAAAUUGUAAAAAUAAAGAAAAACCCUUGAAUGAGUAGGUGUGUACAAACUUUUUGACUAGUACUGUAUACAGUUGAAGUUGGAAGUUUACAUACACUUAGGUUGGAGUCAUUAAAACUAGUUUUUCAACCACUCCACACAUUUCUUGUUAACAAACUAUAGUUUUGGCGAGUCGGUUAAGACAUCCACUUUGUGCAUGAC